CAGAGAAGCCGGUGUUUGGAGGAUAUUGGCACGGGUGUUAUUUUCGCCGAGGGCCAACAAACUGUGCCAAUAUAUCCUCCGAACACCAGCUUCGAGGGCAUUAUCACUUCAACAAAAAAAAUGCAAUUCGGUGACGUUGAAUUAACGUGGAAAACUGAUUGGAUUUGCAAAAAGUCAUCAACGUAAAGGAAUUUCGUAGUUUUUUCAACCAACUUUGAACCUAAAUCCAAUGACAUGGUGACAUCAAAAAGGAUCAUAGCUUUCACCUGGGUUCACCUGGUCCGUCUAUUUCACGGAAAGAACAGGUGUUCCUAAUGUUUUGUACACUCGGUGUACAAUGGACCAUAUAACUUAAAGAUGAAGAAGGAUGCAAGGAACAAGAAGAGAUACAGGAGGUCUUCAUUAGUUAUAGUGGUGGAACAGUUUUAAAGCUGGGCUAGAAGGCAAGCCUCCCCUCUCACUGCCCUUACGACAGAGACUGCGUCACACUGUGUACCUCUCAUUCAAGUCACCAAAAAAUUGAUUAAAACACACUGUUUUGCAAUGAAGGUCUACAGCAGAAAUAAUCAAAGCGACAGAUGUCAAUAGAAAUGAAGCCAAGCCCAUGAAAAAAAUAUUGUCCUCCCUCAUCUUAAACGUCACCGACCGCUACUGAUACACACACACACACUCUACAUGAGAGAGCGGUGGAGGGCAUAAAGGAGAUUAGAGAAAGACAGAGUGGGGGGAGAGAGAGGUGGAGGUAGAGGGGGAUAUACAGAAAGAGUAGGUGGAGAGGUCGAGACAAGCGAGAAGAGCAGGGAGAGGAAAAGUCUGAAUAACACACAGUAGAACGAGUGAAUGUGACAAAGGUAGGCGGAGGAGAGAAAGAGUGUGGCGGAGAGGAGGGGGGAUUGGGAUGAACAGAGGAGGAGAAGAUAAGAAAGUUAAGAACACAUACUGUAUGUUUGAAAACUGAAUAGACGAGAGAAGCAGAGAACAAGAAAGAAAAACAACAUAUGGACAUUGUAAAAAAGAGGAAAAUAAGUUUACAUUAUAAUUUACAUUAUGAUGCUCACUGAUUGGAAAGGUAAGAGAGAUAAUAUAAUUCAAAUAUCUGUCAAAUGACUUUGCAUUUACCCAGGUAUUAUGCUUUUUGGUGAUAGGGUAAGUGUGCAUAGGUAACAAGAUAAAUGUCUGUCUGACACUGUGAAUAAAAUACCAAUAGUCUCCUGCAGUCUUCUGAGUCACACCUCUAGGCCCCUUCUUCUCUCCCCUAAUAAAAAGCAUCCAUG
Molecule: long non-coding RNA, 1274 nt
Filed under: Salmo salar (Atlantic salmon)
Lineage: Eukaryota; Metazoa; Chordata; Actinopteri; Salmoniformes; Salmonidae
Description: lncRNA (ENSSSAG00000099536.1, ENSSSAG00000121145.1)
Source: RNAcentral